CAUUCCAGGACUUCGUGCAUUAGAAUCGACGUUCCAUCCGUUUAAUUGAUUUCUGUGUUUUGAGACACAGCUGGACUGACAUCUCUGUACAGUAACAGCCAGAGACACUCGAACUGAAUCAGUACUACUCUUCAGCCGGAGAUCUACGCCUCUUUCCGGCCUUCAUGUCAAGCCUUUGGGAUCGUGUGUGUCCCGCAGUUCCCUCUAUCUGCCCGUAGCUUGUCCAUGUCACUCCGGCGCUUCUCGGGGCUCAUGGAGAGCUCCGGGUCCGCCUAGCCCAGGGAGGGAGCUGUUCGAGGCCUGCAGGAGCGGAGACCUGGAGCGGGUGGAGAGGCUCGUGUGCCCGGAGAAUGUGAACAGGGGGGACACCGCAGGGAGGAAGUCCACCCCGCUGCACUUAGCUGUGGUUUGCUGCAACAUGGUGCUGAGCCAACCAUCCGAAACACUGAUGGAAGGACAGCGCUUGACCUGGCUGAACCCUCCACCAAAGCUGUGCUGACCGAUAACUCUGGACGUCCUGGUGGAAAUGGGCCACACAGAGCUGAAGGAGACAAGGAGACACACACAAGAUCAUCAGAGGGGUGGAGAGACUUAUUAGUGGACCUCAGAAUGCAAAGUACGAUAAGGGAACACAGAGAUGGCGGUCAUGCAGGUGGGGUUUUCAACAGAUACAGCAUUAUGAAGAUCCAGAAGGUGUGCAACAAGAAGCUGUGGGAGAGAUACAGCCAUCGCAGGAAGGAAGUUUCUGAGAGGAACCACAACCAUGCCAAUGAACGCAUGCUCUUCCACGGCUCACCGUUCGUAAAUGCCAUCAUUCACAAGGGCUUCGAUGAAAGGCAUGCGUACAUAGGAGGUAUGUUCGGGGCCAGGAUCUACUUUGCGUAAAACUCUUCCAAAAGCAACCAGUAUGUUUACGGAAUAGGCAGAGGAACAGGGUGCUCUCUUCACAAGGACAGGUCGUGCUACAUGUGUCAGAGACAUCUUCUGUUCUGCCGUGUGACUUUGGGGAAGUCUUUCCUCCAGGACAUCACUCAGUCACUGGCCGGCCCAGUGUCAACGGUCUCGCUCUGGCGGAGUAAGUCAUCUACAGAGGAGAGCAGGCUUUUCCUGAAUAUCUGAUCACAUACCAGAUCAUCAAACCGGACAGUUCUACAGAUUAACACAUGGCUCUUUCCAUCUCAAGGGAGAGAAACUGCUUGAUAUUGCAUGCAUUUAUUUAUACAAUGUAUAAUUCUUUUCUCUUCCUACAGCUGUCUGCUUUUAUGUCAUUUACAGCAACUUAUUAAUCAGAUUUUAGACACAACAAGCCUCAUCGGUCCAGUCAAUUACACUGAUUACAAAACUUCCAUUUCCUAUUAGUUUAAUUUAUUUUACAAAGACAAUUGUAUAUUUUGUACUUAUUUAUUUAUUGAUGUUUGUAUCAUAGGGGUUGUAAAUGUUGGCCACUGUCAUGCAGUUUUCAGUGGGAACACCGGGUCUAUUGGAGGUUAUUUGUUGGCAUGGUUUUUUUUUUUUUUGUCCAGGAGCACCUGUAUCCUGUUGUUCACGAACAUGUCGAGUUUUCCUCUUGCAGUGUCAUGUUAAAGAUGUAUUUAGUUUGUCCUACAACAACAGCGUCGCUAACAUUAUUAACAAUUAAAGAGACACUUUU
Long non-coding RNA from Carassius auratus (goldfish), 1651 nucleotides. RefSeq lists it as uncharacterized. The transcript is spliced from 8 exons. The record is from RefSeq and is a predicted model, not a curated record. Lineage: Eukaryota; Metazoa; Chordata; Actinopteri; Cypriniformes; Cyprinidae.